Molecule: ribosomal RNA, 394 nt
Filed under: uncultured bacterium
Lineage: Bacteria
Description: bacterial SSU rRNA
Rfam family: Bacterial small subunit ribosomal RNA
Source: RNAcentral
GUGUCAGCAGCCGCGGUAAUACGUAGGGGGCAAGCGUUGUCCGGAUUUAUUGGGCGUAAAGAGCGUGUAGGCGGCUUGGUAGGUCUCGCGUCAAAACCUGAGGCUCAACCUCAGUUCGCGUGGGAAACCACCUAGCUAGAGUCCGGAAGAGGAGAACGGAAUUCCCAGUGUAGCGGUGAAAUGCGCAGAUAUUGGGAAGAACACCAGUGGCGAAGGCGGUUCUCUGGGACGGUACUGACGCUGAGACGCGAAAGCGUGGGGAGCGAACAGGAUUAGAUACCCUGGUAGUCCACGCCGUAAACGAUGGGCGCUAGGUGUGGGAGGUGUCGACUCCUUCCGUGCCGAAGCUAACGCAUUAAGCGCCCCGCCUGGGGAGUACGGCCGCAAGGCUAAA